CACUCCUACGGGAGGCAGCAGUGGGGAAUUUUGGACAAUGGGCGAAAGCCUGAUCCAGCCAUGCCGCGUGCAGGAUGAAGGCCUUCGGGUUGUAAACUGCUUUUGUACGGAACGAAACGGCCUUUUCUAAUAAAGAGGGCUAAUGACGGUACCGUAAGAAUAAGCACCGGCUAACUACGUGCCAGCAGCCGCGGUAAUACGUAGGGUGCAAGCGUUAAUCGGAAUUACUGGGCGUAAAGCGUGCGCAGGCGGUUAUGUAAGACAGUUGUGAAAUCCCGGGGCUCAACCUGGGAACUGCAUCUGUGACUGCAUAGCUAGAGUACGGUAGAGGGGGAUGGAAUUCCGCGUGUAGCAGUGAAAUGCGUAGAUAUGCGGAGGAACACCGAUGGCGAAGGCAAUCCCCUGGACCUGUACUGACGCUCAUGCACGAAAGCGUGGGGAGCAAACAGGAUUAGAAACCCUUGUAGUCCCAUG
RNAcentral lists this ribosomal RNA (474 nucleotides) under uncultured organism. RNAcentral describes it as "partial 16S ribosomal RNA". It matches the Rfam family "Bacterial small subunit ribosomal RNA", at positions 334 to 799 of the family's 1533-position model. The record is from RNAcentral.